RNAcentral lists this non-coding RNA (28 nucleotides) under Mus musculus (house mouse). Lineage: Eukaryota; Metazoa; Chordata; Mammalia; Rodentia; Muridae. The record is from RNAcentral.
UGCAUAUGUCUGGUGUUCAGUGACUGUC